UAAAAAAGGCCGGGAUAGCUCAGUUGGUAGAGCAGAGGACUGAAAAUCCUCGUGUCCCGU
This 60-nucleotide transfer RNA is filed under the name Neckera pennata. Its description in RNAcentral is "partial tRNA-Phe". The stretch from base 9 to 60 matches the Rfam family "tRNA", at positions 1 to 51 of the family's 71-position model. Rfam says of the family: Transfer RNA (tRNA) molecules are approximately 80 nucleotides in length. The record is from RNAcentral. Lineage: Eukaryota; Viridiplantae; Streptophyta; Bryopsida; Hypnales; Neckeraceae.